This 455-nucleotide ribosomal RNA is filed under the name uncultured bacterium. RNAcentral describes it as "bacterial SSU rRNA". It matches the Rfam family "Bacterial small subunit ribosomal RNA", at positions 340 to 786 of the family's 1533-position model. The record is from RNAcentral.
UCCGGAAGGCAGCAGUGGGGAAUAUUGCACAAUGGGCGAAAGCCUGAUGCAGCUAUGCCGCGUGUAUGAAGAAGGCCUUAGGGUUGUAAAGUACUUUCAUCGGGGAGGAAAAAACAAAACUAAUAAUUUUAUUUCUUGACGUUACCCGAAAAAGAAGCACCGGCUAACUCCGUGCCAGCAGCCGCGGUAAUACGGAGGGUGCUAGCGUUAAUCAGAAUUACUGGGCGUAAAGAGCACGUAGGUGGUUUUUUUAAGUCAGAUGUGAAAUCCCUGGGCUUAACCUGGAACUGCAUUUUGAAACUGAAAUACUAGAGUAUCGUAGAGGGAGGUAGAAUUCUAGGUGUAGCGGUGAAAUGCGUAGAUAUCUGGAGGAAUACCUGUGGCGAAAGCGGCCUCCUAAACGAAUACUGACACUGAGGUGCGAAAGCGUGGGGAGCAAACAGGGAUUAGAUACC